UACAUUGAAGUUGGACAGAUGACUUGAUUACGACUUGAAAAUUCAAAGUUAAGAACUUGGUCUUCCACAUCAUUGACUCUGGACUCGACUUGGACUUGGUUGUCUUUGAUUUGGACUUGACUCGAGACUUGACUGGAAGAUUUGUGACUUACUUGUGACUUGCAAAGCAGUGACAUGGUCACACCUCUGCAAGCAGCUGAAAUGAGCUUCCUCCAAAGGUGACUCUGGGUCAGCCUUUGAGACAAAGGUGGGGGAAGCUCAGACUGGAACCACUGGUGCUCCUUAUCAAAACGAUAUUUUGGUUAGCUAAGUUGUAUGGUAGUGCUAGGGUGCUAAUGCUAGUUUUGUCAAUGGUUCACAGCAGACUUGAUCAUGUUGCUGUUCCUCAUAUCCACUCGACUUACUAGACAAGAAGUCAAUUUGUAAGCAAUCUGUGACUGCAAAUAGGAGGAAAAACAUAUUUUUGCACUUUUACCCAGGCUAAUGUUUUUCUUAACCAUUUGUUUGGUGGCAGGAUCCAGCAGGUGGAGAUGUUUCUCUCCCUUCCCAGGUGCUGAGUGGUCCCAGCUGGAGCCAACUACCUCAUCAAGGCAGCAGUAUUUAGGAGGAGGGGAGCCACCAGACGUACGUCAGCUGAUUCUGUUUAUGGAGUGGUAAACUGACCACGCGCUCUUUAGUCGUGCUUCCCUUCGUGCCAGGUAAUCAAUCACCUGUGAUUCUAUGUUCCUCGCAGCAACCCCUUCCGCAUCUUUGAAGACCCAGGAAGUUCCUCAUCGGUCCAUACAUUCAAGUUCUUUUCUCCACGUCUUCACUGGUUUGGACAUCCAUCUCCAUGGGUGUGGCCACUCCUCUCUCCGCCGCUGCAAUAGCUCCAGCACUGGAUUCUGCCAAGCCGCUCAGCUCUCCUGUGGAAAGAAAACACCACUAACCCACCGCGCAGCUCGCACAACCUUCAACCACCCUGAAUACUCUCCUCUCUCUCAGGACCGGUCCCUCCGCAGCUCCAGAAGUCAUCCAAUUUAA
RNAcentral lists this long non-coding RNA (1023 nucleotides) under Nothobranchius furzeri (turquoise killifish). RNAcentral describes it as "lncRNA (ENSNFUG00015001895.1)". Lineage: Eukaryota; Metazoa; Chordata; Actinopteri; Cyprinodontiformes; Nothobranchiidae. The record is from RNAcentral.